UUUUUUUUUUUUUUUUUUUCAGAUCAAGGCAAAUUCCAGCUUCAGUUUACUGUACUUCUCCUUUUUGAUGAAGAUAUCCUGUAACAAAAGACAAAUCACAUCACACUCAUUGUAUCUAUUUCCUCUUAUAUCCAAAUUUAAGUAUGCUUUUGUUGUAAAAUAUUCUUACAGAUAUCAUGUGCUUUACACUUCAGCAAGGAUUUACUGUUGAAAAGUUUAGUUUUCUAAAAGCAGCUUAUCAGGCAGGACUUAGAGCAUUUGCAAGACAGAGUUUUGAUUAGUUUCCUUUUCGGGUUUUUGGCAAAUUCUGUAAAGUCAGUAGUACAAAACCAGCCCUUGGUUAUUAGUCUGCUCCCAUGGGGAUGAUUUGUGCUUCGUUUCCAUCUUCAUUAUUUUCACUAUUUUGCAUUGUUUCCCAGAGAAGUUCUUCAUACCCCAUAGAAUCAUAAGUAACUAACACAGCUAUUGCUAAGUCACAGGAUUUUUAACAAUGUUCACCUCUGUGGCAGAUGUGUAUGGAUAAUUAAACUGAAGCCUGGGAACAGUUUGAUUUCUGCAGUGACGGCGUGUGCUGCAGGGAGGAACUCAACAGCAACACAAAGCCUUUUAAUCUAAAGCAACAUUCAGGACACCGAUUACCAGAACAGUGUGAUUCUGCUACAGAUUUAUUUCCUUGCUGAUAGCAAACUAUAUUAUCUGAAGGACAGUCAUGUUUUGGAAUAGAGAAAAUGCUGCUGCAGAACAGAUUUUACUGGGAAAACUUGACCUGGAGUAGAAAAA
Non-coding RNA from Taeniopygia guttata (zebra finch), 780 nucleotides. Lineage: Eukaryota; Metazoa; Chordata; Aves; Passeriformes; Estrildidae. The record is from RefSeq and is a predicted model, not a curated record.